CCAAGGGUUCCUGUCCAACGUUAAUCGGGGCAGGGUGAGUCGACCCCUAAGGCGAGGCCGAAAGGCGUAGUCGAUGGGAAACAGGUUAAUAUUCCUGUACUUGGUGUUACUGCGAAGGGGGGACGGAGAAGGCUAUGUUGGCCGGGCGACGGUUGUCCCGGUUUAAGCGUGUAGGCUGGUUUUCCAGGCAAAUCCGGAAAAUCAAGGCUGAGGCGUGAUGACGAGGCACUACGGUGCUGAAGCAACAAAUGCCCUGCUUCCAGGAAAAGCCUCUAAGCAUCAGGUAACAUCAAAUCGUACCCCAAACCGACACAGGUGGUCAGGUAGAGAAUACCAAGGCGCUUGAGAGAACUCGGGUGAAGGAACUAGGCAAAAUGGUGCCGUAACUUCGGGAGAA
RNAcentral lists this ribosomal RNA (397 nucleotides) under Escherichia coli. RNAcentral describes it as "partial 23S ribosomal RNA". It matches the Rfam family "Bacterial large subunit ribosomal RNA", at positions 1345 to 1744 of the family's 2925-position model. The record is from RNAcentral. Lineage: Bacteria; Pseudomonadati; Pseudomonadota; Gammaproteobacteria; Enterobacterales; Enterobacteriaceae.